GCCCGGGCUGCUGCUGCGCGCCCGCCUCCACGCGCGCCCGCCGCCUGCGCCUGCCGCCCUCCCUCCGGCUCCUCUCUUUCUCUCCCCCUCUCUCUCCCUCUCCUCUCUCGCUCGCUCUCUUGCUCGCGCUCUCUCCCUCCCUGGAAGAAGGGAAUGAGGCAGGGCUGACGUGAAGGGAUGCAAAACAGCUCCUCCUAACCCAGCUCGCAGAGGAAGAGAGACAGAAAAGCAGCCCUUUUAUCUCUCUUUUGUUUUCUCACUUCCUUCCACCCCCCAACACCCCCUCCUGUCAGCCCAAGUUUUCUUUUUCUCUUUCUACCACAGAGAGGAUUUUUCUUCCUUUCUUUCUCUUUCUCUCGGUUCAACUCUUCUACUCGAAUUCAAAAGCCUGGAGGGUUUUUUCCCCUCUCUCUUUUCUUCCUUCUUUUCUUCCUUCUUCCUCCUUUCUUAUUUCUCUAAAAGGGUUUUGUUUGCUGUGGGAGUUUCGUUUGAAAAUCAAGUCACGCCUUUUUUUCCUUCUUUUCUCUCUCUCUCUUUUCUCUCCUCAGCAGAAAAGGGGAACAAAGAUUAACGAGCGGGGGAGAAGGGAGCGUCAGAACCUCGCAUGGAAAUGGGGGGCCCUGCCCGGCACAAAGGGGCCCAGGGGCCCCGACCCCCCGGGAAGCCUGGGGGUCCCCCCCGAAGGGAGUCAGUGGGGUGGGGGUUAGCUCCUGGGUUCCGGAUCCUUCUGAAGUACGGACUGGGAGCCCCGGGUCGGUGGUCCUCAGCCAGAGGUGGGAGGCUGGGUGUGUUCUUUACUCAUAUAUUUAUAAAGUAGGCAGAUGGGCUUGGAGCAACAUCCCCGCAGAGCUCGGAACAGUGAGAGAGCCUUGAAACAGCUGUUAGCAGAGCCCUGGACGGCCAGGACCGAGGGAGCGGCGCGGGCUGUGAGCGCCAGGCCGGGGCGGGAAGGGGUUCUGAGGAGUCGCAGGGAUGGCCCCUCGCGGGCUCCCCAAUCCCGGGGCCUGGGCCUCGGCCCGGGACGCACUUGCUGGGGGGCGCCGAGGCGUGGCCGUUCGCCGCACGCCGGUCGGGUCCCUGGCUGCUCCCCGCAGGGCCGCGGGGUCCGGCGCAGCUUGGCCUUCUCCCAGCUCUGGGGCAGGCCGGCCACCCGGCCUCCAACCUACAGAACCCGCGCCACUCAGAGCCGCUUCUCGACUCCGACGCAGGGCCGGUCCUGAGCCGGCGGGAGAGAGCCGCCACGAAGGGUCAAUUAUUCAUGGAGCGCCUGGGCGUGCUCCCAAGACCUGCCCUGUCCUCGGCUUCUCCGGAGAAGUGGGGAGAAGACGGGGGAAAAGUUCCCAGAGCAAAGUUGGGCACAUUUCUUAUUUUCCCAAGUAAGUAUUGAGCACCUGCUGGAUGCCUGGCCCUUGGACUGGGGCUGCAACGGGGGCGGGAGGGAGAAACGUGAGGUCCUGAUGGGCCCCCAAGAGUUUCCGCUGGAAACAAUGCGAAGGAGGCUGCCGCUCAGGACCAGGUCACUGGGAAGAAGGAAAGCCUGGAUCCUCUCCCCCCACCCUCCUCUCUUCCUUCCCCUUCCCUUCCUCCCGGCUGCAUCUUCUUGGCUCCACCCCUUCUCCUCAUCAAUUCCUCCCACACUUCCCUGCUCUCCCUGGCUUUUCACUGGAGGGUCCCUUCUCCCAGCGAGGAGCAGAUGCUGAGCCCCAUUGUCUCUCCCCCAAUGACUGCAGUCUCCCAGGGACAGGACCUGCCACUCUUCACCCCUCCCCCAAGCCGGGAGGCCUGGGCCUUUAGAGACUGGAGACCCAAGGCCACUGCCCCUCGCCCCACCCUACACCAGCUCUUGGUGCUGUGAGCAAUGACUCCAGUCACUCAGAACAUGAUUUAUUUCUCACUAGGAGUGAGAAAACAGAAGCCAGAGAGUUUGCUUCAGCAAGAAAGACACCAUGGUUUUGACAUCGGCACAUCGAGCCCCCAGUGACCCCAGAGCCUUCCUGCAUGCCCUGUUAAGAGAGUGCCCAGUACACUCUUUUAAUAGGGCCUGCAGGAAGUCACAUUUCUGUCAUUACCUGCUCCUUAGUACACUCAAACUGUAUCCUUUAAACAAAGCAAAACACAGCUCUGGUAGUCACACAUUCAUUCAACAAAUGCUUGUCAAGUACCUACUCUGCACCAACUAGUGUGCUGGUAGUAAGCACCUAACCAUCAGCAAGAUAGGAUCCUUGCUAUGGCUUUGCAGACAGCAGGGGAAGGAGCAAAAAAAAAAAAAAACAUAAUGUACACAAGGGUAAACCAAAAAAACAUCUAAAGGGGUACCUGACUUAGGGUAUUCCCAGAAGGCUUCCUGGAGGAGGUUACAUCUAGUUAAAUGGACCUGUGUCAGACAGUGCAUGGGAGGAAACAGCCUGUCCCCAGGGCAAGAGAGAAAGAACACUUUUACAGGUUCUUGGAAUUGUUAAUGAGUUCAAGUACUUGCUGCAGCCCAGAGU
RNAcentral lists this long non-coding RNA (2489 nucleotides) under Marmota monax (woodchuck). Lineage: Eukaryota; Metazoa; Chordata; Mammalia; Rodentia; Sciuridae. The record is from RNAcentral.